UGGGGAAUUUUGGACAAUGGGCGAAAGCCUGAUCCAGCAAUGCCGCGUGUGUGAAGAAGGCCUUCGGGUUGUAAAGCACUUUUGUCCGGAAAGAAAUCCUUGGCUCUAAUACAGUCGGGGGAUGACGGUACCGGAAGAAUAAGCACCGGCUAACUACGUGCCAGCAGCCGCGGUAAUACGUAGGGUGCAAGCGUUAAUCGGAAUUACUGGGGCGUAAAGCGUGCGCAGGCGGUUUGCUAAGACCGAUGUGAAAUCCCCGGGCUCAACCUGGGAACUGCAUUGGUGACUGGCAGGCUAGAGUAUGGCAGAGGGGGGUAGAAUUCCACGUGUAGCAGUGAAAUGCGUAGAGAUGUGGAGGAAUACCGAUGGCGAAGGCAGCCCCCUGGGCCAAUACUGACGCUCAUGCACGAAAGCGUGGGGAGCAAACAGGAUUAGAUACCCUGGUAGUCCAGCGCCCUAAAACGAUGUCAACUAGUUGUUGGGGAUUCAUUUCCUUAGUGACGUAGCU
RNAcentral lists this ribosomal RNA (508 nucleotides) under uncultured bacterium. RNAcentral describes it as "partial 16S ribosomal RNA". It matches the Rfam family "Bacterial small subunit ribosomal RNA", at positions 355 to 853 of the family's 1533-position model. The record is from RNAcentral.